This is a ribosomal RNA of Fundulus heteroclitus (mummichog), 154 nucleotides long. RefSeq annotates it as 5.8S ribosomal RNA. The transcript has a single exon. Lineage: Eukaryota; Metazoa; Chordata; Actinopteri; Cyprinodontiformes; Fundulidae. The record is from RefSeq and is a predicted model, not a curated record.
AAAUCUUGGCGGUGGAUCACUCGGUUCGUGGAUCGAUGAAGAACGCAGCCAGCUGCGAUAAAUAGUGCGAAUUGCAGACACAUUGAGCACUAAAAUUUCGAACGCACAUUGCGCCAUCGGGUUCAUUCCCGCUGGCACGUCUGGCUGAGGGUCG